RNAcentral lists this ribosomal RNA (253 nucleotides) under uncultured bacterium. RNAcentral's name for it is "partial 16S ribosomal RNA". It matches the Rfam family "Bacterial small subunit ribosomal RNA", at positions 524 to 776 of the family's 1533-position model. The record is from RNAcentral.
GACAGAGGGUGCAAACGUUGUUCGGAUUUACUGGGCGUAAAGCGCGUGUAGGCGGCCUUGCAAGUCGGAUGUGAAAGCCCACGGCUCAACCGUGGAAGUGCAUCCGAAACUGCAUAGCUUGAGUCUCGGAGAGGAAGGUGGAAUGCUUGGUGUAGAGGUGAAAUUCGUAGAUAUUGGGAAGAACACCGAUGGCGAAGGCAGCCAUCUGGACCGACACUGACGCUGAGGCGCGAAAGCGUGGGGAGCAAACAGG